CAGUAGCCACGGUAAUACAGAGGGUGCGAGCGUUAAUCGGAUUUACUGGGCGUAAAGCGUGCGUAGGCGGCUUCUUAAGUCGGAUGUGAAAUCCCUGAGCUUAACUUAGGAAUUGCAUUCGAUACUGGGAAGCUAGAGUAUGGGAGAGGAUGGUAGAAUUCCAGGUGUAGCGGUGAAAUGCGUAGAGAUCUGGAGGAAUACCGAUGGCGAAGGCAGCCAUCUGGCCUAAUACUGACGCUGAGGUACGAAAGCAUGGGGAGCAAACAGGAUUAGAUAUCCCUGUAGUCCCUGUCUCUUAUAC
This 301-nucleotide ribosomal RNA is filed under the name uncultured bacterium. Its description in RNAcentral is "partial 16S ribosomal RNA". It matches the Rfam family "Bacterial small subunit ribosomal RNA", at positions 509 to 807 of the family's 1533-position model. The record is from RNAcentral.